This 1164-nucleotide ribosomal RNA is filed under the name uncultured bacterium. Its description in RNAcentral is "bacterial SSU rRNA". It matches the Rfam family "Bacterial small subunit ribosomal RNA", at positions 45 to 1174 of the family's 1533-position model. The record is from RNAcentral.
UGCCUAAUACAUGCAAGUCGAACGCACCCUUUUCGACAGAAGGUGCUUGCACUGGAAGUUGAUUGACGUGAGUGGCGGACGGGUGAGUAACACGUGGGUAACCUGCCCUUAAGCGGGGGAUAACAUUUGGAAACAGAUGCUAAUACCGCAUAAAAGUUGAGAUCACAUGGUCUUAAUUUGAAAGACGGCCUUUGGCUGUCACUUAAGGAUGGACCCGCGGCGUAUUAGCUAGUUGGUGAGAUAAUAGCCCACCAAGGCGAUGAUACGUAGCCGACCUGAGAGGGUAAUCGGCCACAUUGGGACUGAGACACGGCCCAAACUCCUACGGGAGGCAGCAGUAGGGAAUCUUCCACAAUGGACGAAAGUCUGAUGGAGCAACGCCGCGUGAGUGAAGAAGGUUUUCGGAUCGUAAAACUCUGUUGUUGGAGAAGAACAGGGACUAGAGUAACUGUUAGUCCUUUGACGGUAUCCAACCAGAAAGCCACGGCUAACUACGUGCCAGCAGCCGCGGUAAUACGUAGGUGGCAAGCGUUGUCCGGAUUUAUUGGGCGUAAAGCGAGCGCAGGCGGUUUCUUAAGUCUGAUGUGAAAGCCUUCGGCUUAACCGAAGAAGUGCAUCAGAUACUGGGAAACUUGAGUGCAGAAGAGGAAAGUGGAACUCCAUGUGUAGCGGUGAAAUGCGUAGAUAUAUGGAAGAACACCAGUGGCGAAGGCGGCUUUCUGGUCUGUAACUGACGCUGAGGCUCGAAAGUAUGGGGAGCGAACAGGAUUAGAUACCCUGGUAGUCCAUACCGUAAACGAUGAAUGCUAAGUGUUGGAGGGUUUCCGCCCUUCAGUGCUGCAGCUAACGCAUUAAGCAUUCCGCCUGGGGAGUACGACCGCAAGGUUGAAACUCAAAGGAAUUGACGGGGGCCCGCACAAGCGGUGGAGCAUGUGGUUUAAUUCGAAGCUACGCGAAGAACCUUACCAGGUCUUGACAUCUAGCGCCAAUCCUAGAGAUAGGACGUUCCCUUCGGGGACGCUAAGACAGGUGGUGCAUGGUUGUCGUCAGCUCGUGUAGUGAGGUGUUGGGUUAAGUCCCGCAACAAGCGCAACCCUUAUGAUUAGUUGCCAGCAUUUAGUUGGGCACUCUAAGCAGACUGCCGGUGACAAACCGGAGGAAGGU